GGGUAAUACUAAAUUACGGAAGUAGGUUACAAAAUGCGUUCGUAUUGUUUGAAAGCUGCAGUAUUUAAAGAAAAUGUUCGCUUUGGAUGUUAAUGCUUUUAAAAACCCGUUUAAUUGCAGGUCGUGCUUUUUAAAACUGUGGUUUUGUAAAAGAACUGGAAAAAAGACAACCGUCACGUAAUUAGAGAGAGAUGCUUCAUUUCUGAGCACAGUGAAGAGGACUCGGACAAUGUGAUUGAAAAUGACAACAUGCAGCUAAGUGGUAAGGAAUCUGAUGAGACCCCAAAUGAUGAGGAUUAUUUUCAUAAUGAUGACUUACAGCUAAUUGGAGAAGAAUCUGAUGAGACCCCAACUGAUGAGGAUGAUUUUCAUAAUGACGACAUACAGAUGGACCGCCCGGCUCUGGACAUUUGCCUCGUCUUGGAUUUCCCUUUGGACUCCAUUUAGGUCAGUGUGCCUUGGACUCACCCCCCAUGUUUUCAUUCCUGACCCCUGCAUGUUUUUUUCCCUGUGUUUUCCUCACUCUUCCUGGAUUGUGUCGUCUGCAUAGGGUCCUGAAAGACACUUCGUUACACCAAGACCACUACGUCAUUGGGCACUGCUCAUAUAACUGUCACUUACUAACACAUCUCACACAAAGUGUCAGGGACUGGGGCCUCCUGUGGGCCAAUUCAGCAUUUGCUUAUGAGGAUGUAAAUGGGAAACUUAAAUCUUUUCAGUGGAACCCAAGCUGUAGCAUCACAAAUUUUUAAGUAUUUUUUUGCUCUCCAAAAAGUGCUUAGAUUUGGAGAGUCAGUCCUACAAACUGCAAAUGAGGAUGUUAGGUGUUUUUUCAAAGCUUUGACAUGCCAUGAUAUAGUCACAAAGGAAAGUACAUUACUGAUCACGUGGUCACAUUAGGGAGUGGUACAAAUAGGGAGCUGACUGCUAGUGAGAGGUUGGCAUUACAAAUGAGACUCUUAUUGGGUACCUGCAGUAUCACAAUGCUACUGUAUAUAAGCAUUGCAUCAUUUGCCAGAUGCUGCUAACCACACAAGAGUAUACACAGUGUUUUAAAAGAAAUAAUGCAGUCAUAGCCACAAAAAAAUCAUUUGGUUUAGUUCAGUCUCUGGUUGUUUGUCCAAAGGAAUGUGAGUGUGAACUUGACAUGGAAUGUUCUUGUCAAGAACUCGUAAUAUUCUUUUUACAACUCACAAAAGAUAGGAAUCAGUUUACCAUCUACAAUUCAGACCUUAAUACAAAUGUUGCAAAAUUUCUAAUGCAAGUAAAGGCCACCAACAAGCUGUGUGCAAUCUCAUGGAAGGAUGUUGAUUCAAAAUGCAUUGUAAUCGAAUAUAGACAUCAUAUGUACUUAAUGAAGAUGCAAGCGUUUGAAAUAGACUAAGUCAUGAUAACUUCUUAUAAUUAUUAUUAAAAUAGCACAUUUUUAUUAAAAUCUUAUGUACAUUUUAUGUACAAAUGAAAUAGUCUGAAAUGGAAGUAGGUCUUAUUUUUUUAAACAGAUUUAAAAUAUAUUUUUUUAUUUUAAGAACAUAAUUGUUAUUUAUGUUAUAUAUGUAAGUGUAUAUAUAUAAUGUGAGGGAUCUCUGUCACCGUCCGCAGACAGUACAUUACACGACACUCAUUAUCUAUCUUAAGUUACACAUGAUAUCGCAUACACUUUCCUGUCGGCUAGCUAGCUCAUGAGGGUGCACACCCUGGGCUUGGCUAGCAGUUUCCUAUAUUCAUACAUGCAAUACAUUAUCACCUCUUAUUUCAAAAUCAGUUUCUGUUACCUGAAGAGAUAAACACAAACUCUGUUUCUCUUUAUUUGUACUUAUCUGUGUGAGAGAGCGCUUUUUCUCUUUUUGUAUGUCUCUGCCGUGUUGCUGUCUGACUUCCGGGUAUGGUGGCCUUAUGGGUCCAAACCCGAUACCCGUUUUCAGCCUGGCUUUAUAAUGUCAACAUGGAGUGGUGCAUGCGCACAUCUUCCGGUAAAGGAAGUACCAUUUUUACAGGAGGUUAAAAAUAAGUUAAAUGUAUUCAGGGUUGGUAUUUUUCUUUUGUACAUUCUGUUUACACUGUUCUUUAAAAGAAAGAAGGAAUUCCCAUGUUAGGGAAAUUAGUUUAUCUGGGGUGAAAUGCAGCUCCAUAAGUUUGUAACAGUGGUACAGUCCAAGGGGGCAGGUCUAUAUGGUACCUAUUUAGGAGGGGGGGGAGA
Molecule: non-coding RNA, 2200 nt
Organism: Lepisosteus oculatus (spotted gar)
Lineage: Eukaryota; Metazoa; Chordata; Actinopteri; Semionotiformes; Lepisosteidae
Source: RefSeq, a predicted model, not a curated record